CGCCAUUCCUAUCCUGGAGAUUUUCUUGGCAGAUAGCUUUCAUUUCCUUUUGAUUUAUUUAGGCAACAGCCCUGUGAAUUUGGCAGCUGGCCUGGUACAAGCAGGGCUGAUGCCAAACUCAGAGCUGUGUCAUCUGUCAGAGCAAUUUGUUCUCAGGGAGGGAAGGAGAAGUGGUUUUCCAGCAGGAGCGUGUUGGCUGCGACCACAGGAGCACACUGAAGCCUGUAGCAGCAGGGAACAGGAUUUAUCCCACUGUGAUCCUCACACCGGCAAGGAUCUUGCACCAGGAAUAUGCAGGGACCAUGAGACUGCAAGACUCAGAAAAACUAGUGAAGAAAACUCUCUGUGCACAGAAACUGUACAAAGCAUUGCGAAGCACACAGAGAAAACCUGCUGGAAGAAAAUGGCACUGUAUCUGUGAGUUUUGUAAGGAGAAAUGUAACUGAAAUAGCCAUAGGCAGGCACUGACUGGCUGCAAAUGGAAAAAAUCUGCUACACAUGUGCAACUGAAAUACAGAGCCUGAGUAAGGUACGUGGUCCACUCGAGGGGACUUGCUUUGGGCUUGGGUGGGUCUGGAUUUUGUCACAGGAUCAGAGCUUGUUUUGGAUAGAGGGAAGAAUACUGGUUUAAAUAUAUUUAAAAAUGAGGGUGUGAUCAGGGCUGCCACUCAAGUAUUUCCCGCUGCAGACAGGACCUGGGUGCAACGCCCCCUUCAAACCAACACUGGAGUGGCCUGUCCACAUCGCCCUGCAGCUUGAAAAUGCCUUCAGUAGACUGGCAAAGCCAGAGGCGGAGAGAGGAGGACGGGCUGCACGUCCUGGUUUGAAAAGACAAAUGCUGCCCUUCGCGGAGAACCAGGGGGGCAGAGAAGCCGCUGGCUGUCCUUCCAGGCUUCGGAGCAGGCGGACGGGGGUCCCAGCUAUGGGCAAGCGGGGACAUGCUGGCUCUUGGGGCAGCAGCUGAAUUGCAUCCUGGCACAGAACCACACCUCUUCAUUUGCUCGUUUUCCCCAGGGUCGGUGGUGAAAGCAACAGCACCCGCGUUUGGCAGAAAAACAUCGGGACAAAUACAAUGAAAGAGCCCGCAGUGGAGUUAAGGCAGGAGCGCCUGAGUGGCUGGUGCUGAGCUCCCCGAGCUGGACUGGCUGUGCCGGGGUCCUGGAGGGCAGCUGCAGGCAGCGGCGCCACUUCUGAGCGGGCGAUGGAGCCGGUUGCAGCUCUGAGGGCUGACAAAGAGCCUCACCCUUGUCCCCCUCCUC
Molecule: long non-coding RNA, 1259 nt
Organism: Empidonax traillii (willow flycatcher)
Lineage: Eukaryota; Metazoa; Chordata; Aves; Passeriformes; Tyrannidae
Exons: 4
Source: RefSeq, a predicted model, not a curated record